GACGAACGCUGGCGGCGUGCCUAAUACAUGCAAGUCGAGCGAAGUUUUUCUGGUGCUUGCACCGGAAAAACUUAGCGGCGAACGGGUGAGUAACACGUAAAGAACCUGCCUCAUAGACUGGGACAACUAUUGGAAACGAUAGCUAAUACCGGAUAACAGCAUUAACUGCAUGGUUGAUGUUUAAAAGUUGGUUUUGCUAACACUAUGAGAUGGCUUUGCGGUGCAUUAGCUAGUUGGUGGGGUAAAGGCCUACCAAGGCGACGAUGCAUAGCCGACCUGAGAGGGUGAUCGGCCACACUGGGACUGAGACACGGCCCAGACUCCUACGGGAGGCAGCAGUAGGGAAUCUUCCGCAAUGGGCGAAAGCCUGACGGAGCAACGCCGCGUGAGUGAAGAAGGAUUUCGGUUCGUAAAGCUCUGUUGUUAGGGAUGAAUGAUUGUGUAGUAACUAUACACAGUAGAGACGGUACCUAACCAGAAAGCCACGGCCAACUACGUG
RNAcentral lists this ribosomal RNA (499 nucleotides) under uncultured bacterium. RNAcentral describes it as "partial 16S ribosomal RNA". It matches the Rfam family "Bacterial small subunit ribosomal RNA", at positions 28 to 507 of the family's 1533-position model. The record is from RNAcentral.